GACGAACGCUGGCGGCACGCCUAACACAUGCAAGUCGAACGGAGCUAUUUUAGCGGAAGCCUUCGGGCAGAAGCUGGCUUAGCUUAGUGGCGGACGGGUGAGUAACACGUGAGCAACCUGCCUUUGCGAGGGGGAUAACGUUUGGAAACGACUGCUAAUACCGCAUGACACAUUCGGGCGGCAUCGCCUGGAUGUCAAAGAUUUUAUCGCUGAAAGAUGGCCUCGCGUCUGAUUAGAUAGUUGGCGGGGUAACGGCCCACCAAGUCGACGAUCAGUAGCCGGACUGAGAGGUUGACCGGCCACAUUGGGGACUGAGAUACGGCCCAG
This 327-nucleotide ribosomal RNA is filed under the name uncultured bacterium. Its description in RNAcentral is "bacterial SSU rRNA". It matches the Rfam family "Bacterial small subunit ribosomal RNA", at positions 28 to 334 of the family's 1533-position model. The record is from RNAcentral.